CAUACAGUCAGGUAAAUUAUCACUGCCAAACACAAAAUCCGAUCUUUGGUUGCUUUCAAAUAGCCUCGCAAAAGAUUGAAGCAGCCAACAACAACUCUCUUCUGUAUUGCACGGCUAUAAAAGAAUAUAUUGUGUGUAAUGAAAAAGUUGCCUGCGAUUGUAAACUUGGAAACAAUCGUUUUAUUCUGCAAGAAGUCGCUACGUAUGUUGAAUAUUUCAAAAGAAAUGGCUGUCCGAAGGUGCUACAAGAAGAACUGUUGACUGAUCCCGGUAUUAUUUGUCCUGGACAAGUAGCUAAUAGUUCUGGUGCUGAUGCUGCACUUUCGAUUCUAGCCUUUGAAUCAUUACCGCAGGUUAUUUUAUUGGAAAAGAAUUGUACAGGAAUACAGAAAUGUUAUAAAGAAUUAAGUGUUGCUGCUGGUACAGCUCUGUACAAUAAAGAUCUUGGAGCAUUUUGUGAUGCCAUUGAGAGUUUCUUGCCGUGUUUUGAGAACAGAACUUGCGAAUGUGGAGAUAAUUAUAAUAAUGAAUUUAUAAAGAAUGUCGCGAAUGAAAGAAGGUCUUACAAUGCAUAUUGUACGCUACUCACUAAUGGGGUAUUUUUUAAAGAAGGGAUACGAUGUACAGGUGACGCUCCUGUAAAUAUCUGUAAACAGCAGAAUCCGAUAUCAGACUGUUUUAAUGCCUUCCAAGCCGUAGCAAUUCCCAAUUUGGCAAACAAACCAGUAGUCUGCCCAGCGUUCCAUACUUAUUUGAACUGUACAGAGACUGUAGCGUGUACCUGUGGAUUGAGAAAAUAUGUACCAAUUCUUAAGGGAAUAGCCUUCGCUCAUGCAAAUUACAAGUCCAUGGGCUGUGAAGCGUUAAGUGGUACAUUAGAAAGAGUAGCAGGAAUUCAAUGUCCAGCUGGUUCUCCAAAUACUGGUACAACAUCCGAUGAAAUUUUAACAACACUGGGAUUAUUAAACGCACCUGCUGUUAUUGGUCAUAUUGAAAGAUGUCCAGCUUCUAAAGAAUGUUACAUAAAAUCUGAUAAAGCAUCAGCUAAAGCAUUGCAUGAAAAAGAUGCCCCUGCUCUUUGUCAAGCUCAGGGUGAUUUUAUUCACUGUUGGGAACAAGCAUUGUGUAAAUGUUACAUGUAUAUGAACAGAGAAUAUCAGUAUUGGUUAACUGAACAAAAAACCCUCCAUUUAAAGUUAUGUCAAGCAGAUACAUCCAUUAAACCAACAUAUUUAUGUGAUUCAUCAACCAUGGUCAGUGUCUCGGUGUGGAGUGUGUUAAUGUUUACCAUAGCAACCAUUCUGUUUUAAUGUCUUAUUUUAAUAACCACGUAUGCUAUAUCGAUCAUAAUGCCUGCAUACAACCACUUAUCUGGAAUAAGUAACACCAAUAAUCCACAAAUCAUUGUAGACGUACCAACAUGUUCUAGUUACUGAGGUUGUUUCCAAAUGCAUACAUGGCAUCCUCAACUGAAAAUGUGCCUAUGCUAACCAAUAAUAAACAGGGACCUUGCAUUAUAUGUACUAAUUUGUGUUAAAACAACAAUCUUGUGGGGAUAUCUGAUUGAAGUUCGGAAAUUUAAUUACCACGGUACACGGUCCAUUGAAUAAGAUUAAGAAUAUGUGAAAAUCGACCAUGGCGGAAGAAACAUGUGUUCGGUGUGUUUAGUAUUUAACUCGGGUAUAUGGAUUGACAAAGCUGGUACCAGACCGAUAUCAAUAUCACUGGGGGUUGCACUUCUGUCAAUUCCGUUUUUGGAUCCCACAAUCUAGUAUCCCCGUGGACAUAUCAAGCUUACGAUAAAGACAGCUUUAGAACUUGAAACCAACAAACGCGAUAUUUAUUAAUUCGUUUGUUUUGGACAUUUAUAGGCUUUGAAACCCGAAGCGUUGUUUCAGUAAUUUCAGUUUCAUUUAUUUGUAUUAUCAUUUGGCUGAGCGAAUAUUUCAAUGCAAGACAAAGAAAUAAUCUAAUCACGCACUAGCCAAUUCUAUUAAAGUAACAGCGAUAACAAGACUUAGUGUGGUAAGUUUAAAUACUGCAGAUUAUGAUGCCUCUCUGACAAGUGGAAUCCACACUGGAAUAUCCCGAACGAACUUUCUCGCCAACACCAUGGAAACAAAUUGGUAUACAAUGAUUAUUCCCGAAUAUAUUUCAUACACCGCCUACAAUACCGCUCACUAAAUUUUAUUUAUUAACUGUUAAUGUUUUCCAAAGUUCUGUCCGGAUUAUCGCCCCUUUUAUUGUUAUUUUUUUUGGUUUUGACGUGCUCACUCAUAACGACUACUGUCAGACUAAAGACAUUCAGAGGACGACCACCUUCAAGACUGGUUUUUCUUGUAAAUCAAUUUGUAUUUUAAUUUUAGUGAAGCCUUUAUUAUUACAGGUCCGGGAACGUACAGCGCAUUGGGCGCCUAUGGCUGUCUGGUUCCCUAUUCCCUUUAAUUGAUUUGUUAUUUGUUGUCUAUUUCUUGCAAUGUCGGUGUAGUUGGACUAGUGCGGAGGUUUGUCUUAUCGGUUUUAUUUUGCGUGUUGUGCCGUUCUCCUGCAGUUACUAUUAAUGAAAGCUUGUAGACAUACCUUUAUAUUGUAGUUGUGCCCUGUUCAGUUAAUAACUUUUGUUAUGGUAAUUUUAAUGCACAAUUAUUAUU
This is a long non-coding RNA of Patella vulgata (common limpet), 2651 nucleotides long. RefSeq lists it as uncharacterized. The transcript is spliced from 15 exons. The record is from RefSeq and is a predicted model, not a curated record. Lineage: Eukaryota; Metazoa; Mollusca; Gastropoda; Patellidae.